Molecule: ribosomal RNA, 253 nt
Filed under: uncultured bacterium
Lineage: Bacteria
Description: partial 16S ribosomal RNA
Rfam family: Bacterial small subunit ribosomal RNA
Source: RNAcentral
UACGUAGGGUGCAAGCGUUGUUCGGAUUCACUGGGCGUAAAGGGUGCGUAGGCGGUCGGGUAAGUCUGGCGUGAAAUCUCCAAGCCUAACUUGGAAACUGCGUUGGAUACUAUCCGGCUCGAGGAAUGGAGGGGAGACUGGAAUACUUGGUGUAGCAGUGAAAUGCGUAGAUAUCAAGUGGAACACCAGUGGCGAAGGCGAGUCUCUGGACAUUUCCUGACGCUGAGGCACGAAAGCGUGGGGAGCAAACAGG